GCACAAAUUACUGAAAAAAAUAACUUGACAAUAUGUAAUAAAACACGAUAAAUACCUUUUGUUUCAAUGCAGGCAGUUGGAAAGCCUGUUCCGAUGACGUCACGUAAAUAAAGGGGCGGAGCCUGCAGAUUAGAAGUCUCAAGCUGUGGUAAUCGUCUAACCUAGGCGCUCGUCCACACUCCCACAGUGCUUUAAAUCGUCUUAUUGUGACUCUGAAUGGUUUUUUUCAGUGUGGGAACCUUUGGCCGAGCACAAGCGAAAGUUUUCCUGCCGGUAGCGGUAAGUGGGCGGGCUACGAAAGCGGAAGAAUUGUAGUUGGUGUGGCUAAGGUAGUUAGCUCCAGCCACUAGCAGCAGCAGCAGCAGCUCACUGUGCUAACAUGCCGGGAGCUGCCUGACACUUCACCGUCAGCUGUGAGCGGAACAGCUCAGGGAUAGCAGAGCGUUGUUGUCUGAGGCUACACCAGCUGGAGCUGCUUGUCCACACACACAGCCUGUGUUUCUACACCAGUGAGCUGUAAAACACUGCUGAGCGUCUCAUCGAGGGAGUGUCAACUUCUUCUUUUUUUUGCCAAAAAAAAAAAAAAAAAAAAAAACCAUCCGUGAAUCGUGCAGACAUGCUGACAGACAGCAGUCUUCCAGCAGUGACAGCAGUAAUGGGAUCAGCAGUCCAGAGGCAACAAUGGUGGCCAGCACCAGGCCGUGCAUACACAGUCAGAGCAACUGCAUCACCCAACACUCCCUUAGCCCAAAGCCUGAGGAAUCUGCCAGCUCCUUGCAGCACGGUUUCCAGGGUGACGGGAGGGGGAGUGUCUCCUACGACCACAUCAACAGAAUCCUGCGGGAGGCGCACUUCAGCAGCCUGCAAACCAAAGGGCGUCCAGGCACAACAUGACCGUGAACUUUGACCCUCUGCUGACCAUCUUUAGGCUCUCACACAUCAGCACCGGCUCUGCCAGCGUGGACACCUCAAUCUACACCCCGGGGGUCAGGGUUGAGGGGACGGCAAGUGUGGUGGUUUAUAUGAUUCGGCCAUGACGGCUCAUCCCCACCUCCACAUGUUCCAUUCGUCCUCAAACAUAAAGCACAUCUGCCUUCUCAUGGCCCAGUCACUGUGGUUCCCUGUGCAGUAUUGAUGUGUAUUUGUACAUGUGCGUGUGUGUGCACGCACCCACCCACUGCACUUUAUGACUCUCUUUACAUGCGUGUGUUUGAUGUGUGGACAUUUCCAUUGGUGCUAAUUACAAAAGAAGUGAUAAUGACCCAAGGUGCGUGCAUAUCAAAAAUAAAGCAAAGCAC
RNAcentral lists this long non-coding RNA (1298 nucleotides) under Gouania willdenowi (blunt-snouted clingfish). Its description in RNAcentral is "lncRNA (ENSGWIG00000012845.1)". Lineage: Eukaryota; Metazoa; Chordata; Actinopteri; Blenniiformes; Gobiesocidae. The record is from RNAcentral.